Molecule: long non-coding RNA, 3471 nt
Filed under: Mustela putorius furo (domestic ferret)
Lineage: Eukaryota; Metazoa; Chordata; Mammalia; Carnivora; Mustelidae
Description: lncRNA (ENSMPUG00000029517.1)
Source: RNAcentral
CUUAAAGGCACAUCUACAGCCACAAAAGUUAGGAAAAAGAAAGUGUAUUUUUAGGAUACAAUUAAAUAUAUCAUACUUUGGAAACUCUGGACUGCCAAUUUUUCCUCCUAAUCUUGUAAUAACAAUAAUCAUAUUUAGCAGAGUUAGCUAAUCGUACUUCCCCCCCCUUGUUUUAACAGAACCCUGACUGUGUUCAGUGAUGAGCAGCUGUGUUCCAGGGAAGACAAACCACCACACCCACACCCCUAGCUCUAGGAGAUCAAGCUCAACCAGUCUAAACCAACAACUCCCUUUGACAAAGUGGCAGGCAAGUCACACAACACGGUAUGAAGGGCACCUCUUGGGGGGGGGGGGGGCUGCUUGUGAGGAAACAUUUAUCUGCUUUCAAGAUGAGCCCUGCAGAAGAUAAAGGCACGAUUCUUCUUCUUCUGUGCCAAGCCGUGAUGUCCAAGGCUCUGUCAACUUGGGGGCACACAGCCACGGAGGCCCUGUGUUGGGCUCCCAGCAAAGGAAGGGUCUGGAUCCUCAGUGAGAUCUGCUGGGCUGAGGCCACCACCGCCAAUCGUCCCUCUCUCCAGGAACUGUAUUUCUGGGAAACCAACAGUGCCAGUGGAUGAGGGGAAGCACGUCUUUUCAGAAGAACGCCACGUAGAGCCAACAGAAUAAUGAAGAGAUUUAGAAAAAUCACCAUCUUCAGCUCCUAAUGAAAUAACUCAUUCAGGCAAAGAUAACCAACGGACGCUGGAGCUGUUAGUGAAGAGUGGACAGUGAGCUGGGUGUUCAAAGACAAAAUACAACUUACAAAGGGAAAAGCGGAUCUUGAAAACGAAGAAACCAGAAGACACAAAAUGCUCACUUUCCUUGGUAUCUACUAAUCCAGGCUGUUAAUGGUACAUUCUUUUUAUUCCUUUUGAAUCUCCACCAUUCUUUUUCUUGCCUGCAAUGGCCCUUAAUAGCUUAUCUAUGGCCUGCUCACUCCUGUCUCCUCAGCCAACUCCUCCCUCCCGACAACUUCUAGGCACUGAAUUCAGGAUCUAAAUUUCCAAUCGGCCAUCCCCAAAAAUACCUCCAAAUCAACAGAUUCAAAAUGAAACUUGCUUACACUAUCAAUUCCGGUGCCCUCCUGAAAAAUAACCAUCAUGCUCUGUACCUCUUUCGACCCAAUCUCUCAUCUGAAGCCAGUACAGCAGCCUUCGAACCCGAGGCUGAUCCCCGCCUUAACCUCUCCAGCAAUGUUCUCUGCCACCUCCCACAGACGACUGUACUAAAAUGUGCGCUGGAGGGGCGCCUGGAGGCUCAAUCGUGAACCAUCUGCCUUUGACUUGGGUCAUGAUACCAGGGUUCUGGGGUCGAGCCCCGCAUCGAGCUCCCUACUAGGCAGAAAGCCUGCUUUCCCUCGCCCACUCCCCCUGCUUGUGUUCCCUCUCUCACUGUUUCUCUGUCAAAUAUAUAAGUAAAAUCUUAAAAAAAAAAAAGUACGCUGGAGCUGUGGGGCAGACACCACAGCUAGCGUGGAGGAAUCUGCAUACAAUCAUGCUCAAGGUGCCACACGCCUCUUUGCCUUCACUUAAGCUCUUUUGGAGCCUAGACUCCAAUACCAUUUCUUCUUGUAAGAUCAUUUCCCAUUUUUCAACACCCAAUGCAAUCACUAUUUUCUCUAAGAAAGAUUCUCGGACUUUCAACAGACAUUGGCAUGUCAUGCUUUUUGUUACCACUAUCUUCUAAUUUUACUUCUAAUUACAGUUCUGACUUAUAAUUUAGUUAAUUUUUAAAAUUGCUAUUUCCACUAUUCCAGCAAAACCGAGGGAGAAGAUCACCAUUCACCUCUAAACUCAAGCACUUAGCUCAGUGGCCUAUACCAACAUGAAGGGCUUUUUCUUCAAUAUGCAUUGUAUUUCCUAUUUUCACAUGGUUCAGAUGCCCAGAAUUUUCAAAGAACACUUCUAUAAGUUGUUCUAAAAAUUAAUAAGUGAAUGCUUUCAAAAGGCAUCAUGAUAAGCAUCAGUGAAAUGCAUUUUCACUGAAAUAUAAUGAUUGUACUUGUAGAUUUAUACAAGAUGUGUAACUCUGUUUUAUGCCCAUUUCAAUUUAAUGUCACACCUACAAUAUACAAUGUCUGUGGAUAAUGUGAUUACUUCCAAUUGCAUCCAAAAGGCAGUGUGACAUCUCUCCAUUUUCAUCAAUUAUGACAUGUAAUUCAUGUUUCAGGCCAUCACAAAGUAAUCAGAUUAAAGGAGAUAAGAGCUAUAGAUUUAAAAAAAAAAAUUGUCCUCUUGAACUCCACCCGAAAAACUCAAUUUUAUAUUUACAGAAUCAACUUUGAGUAGUUAAUAGAUAACAAAAAUAAAAUUAACCCCUCAUAUCAAAAAAGUUUUCCUAAUUCAAUACUGUUAUGGUAAUGUCAAUAAUGAAUUCAUGCAUUAAUUUAUAAGGUAUGAGAAGCCCAGCUGAAGUAUCUUAGUCUCUGUCAAGAAAGCAAAGAAUUUCUAAAAUGUAUUAGGAAUCACUAUGCAAUAUAUACUUUAGUUUGUGGAUAGCAACAUGUAGGCACUACUCGCAUUGCACUCAUGUUCUUCUUCACAAUCCUGAGCUUGAUCCAAAGUUCAUACAAAGACUGGAGUCCUAGAAAGUUGUGAUUCUGUAUUUAUGGGUAUAUCAGCAAACACCAUAACAUGCAAUAUGAUUUCUCCUUUACAAUACAUGCUUGGAUAUUCAUGAUUUCCAAUUGAAAUGUAUAAAGUACAUACUAUUUUCAGCUUAAAAAUAUUUAUUUUGGUGUAAAUGAUUUUAGAAACCUAGUAGUCUUAAAUUUGGUGAUCUGAAGAGGCACCUGCACCCCAAUAUUUACACAGCAAUGUCCACAACAGCCAAACUACGGAAAGAGCCCAGAUGUCCACCAAGAGAUAAAUGGAUAAAGAUGAUGUGGGUUGUGGGUGGGGUGUGUGUGUGUGUGUGAGAGAGAUAAUGGAAUAUUACUAAGCCAUCAAAAAGGAAAUCUCGCCAUUUGCAAUGACAUGGAUGGAACUGGAGGGUAUUAUGACAAGCGACAAGCGAGAUAAGUCAAUCAGAAAAAGAAAAUUAUCAUAUGAUCUCACAGGUGGAAUUUAAGAAAUAUAACAAAGGAUUGUAGGGGCAAGAGAGGAAAAAAUAAAACGAGAUGAAAUCAGAGAGGGAGAUAAAACGUAAGAGACUCUUAAUCAUGGGAAACAAACUGGAGAGGAGGGAGGUGGGGGGGAGGGGUAACUGGGUGACAGACAUUAAGCAGGACAUGUGAUGUAAUGAGCACUGGGAAUUAUAUAAGACUGAUGAAUCACUGACCUCCACCUCUGAAACCAAUAAUAUAUCAUAUGUUAAUUAAUUUAAAUGAAAAUAAAGUUUUUUAAAUAAAUAAAUGCCAUAUCCUCUAGCAAACCCAACUACAUUGUAAGCUUUGGAGAAAGGACCAUCUUCCUACCCCUACCCAUGAUGUCC